Molecule: long non-coding RNA, 360 nt
Filed under: Heterocephalus glaber (naked mole-rat)
Lineage: Eukaryota; Metazoa; Chordata; Mammalia; Rodentia; Bathyergidae
Description: lncRNA (ENSHGLG00000050900.1)
Source: RNAcentral
CAGGUUAGCAUGCUUGCACGCGCUCUUUCUCAGUGCUCACCGAGGAGGCCAAUUAGGCCUCAUUCUUCCCAUCUGAUCUCCACACUUUUCAGUUUGGCUUGAGAAGCCUGUAGUACUAGAAAAGAAUAAAUGCCUGGACAUCAAAUUUUGAGUAGGGACAAGCUGUCCGGUCAGACCUCCUUCAAGAUGGACAAGAUUCAUCAGACACCAUCAUUUCCUACUGUCUUCUCCUACAUGGACACUGAUACCAGGCAACUUUGGAAAAGCAUCUCUGUCUCCUUGAAGCAGCAUUAUAAAAGCAGCCUCCGUUCCUGGGUGUUGGAAAUGGUGAAAGCAGCAAGAAUCGAAGAGAGAGCCAUG